Long non-coding RNA from Scatophagus argus, 3000 nucleotides. RefSeq lists it as uncharacterized. The record is from RefSeq and is a predicted model, not a curated record. Lineage: Eukaryota; Metazoa; Chordata; Actinopteri; Scatophagidae. The transcript is spliced from 2 exons.
UGUGAAGAUGCCCACCACCCAGUUAAUGCUCCUGUUUCCCAGCAGGGCCAUGUCCAUUCCAGUGGCGGCACUUUUCUUCUGUUUCCUUUUGGACUUGAAAGAAGCCCAGAUGCCAGUCCCCAGGACCAGCAGAACCUUAGUGGUUUGGUCACUGCCAGCUCUACAAACGCCAGAGACAUUGAGGACAUUAUAAAGAUAUCACAAACCAGAGAUGGGGACUCAAGGUGGAUUGACACUUUACAUGACACUCGAAACGGUAUGAUGGUUUGAAAUGAUUAUUAUGUUAUUUCAUCAUUUAUUUCAUUUUAUUGAUACACUAACAUUAAGGAGAUGUCUCGCAAGCUGCAUGUCCUGACCUUCCUGGUUAUGAUUUGUAACUUGACUGACCUUACCUUCUGACGUGCCAGUGACCGGCUCAGUAUUUUGGAGAAGAAGAGCGACUUUGGACAACCUUCAACAGGAGAGUUAAAAACAUCCUGCACCCUUCAGAUGGACUGACAUAAAAGCUGGUUUUAUGUUUACUUGACACACAUACAGAAAUUUUAAACUAUGAGCAAGACUCAAUGCUACAGUGGAGGUGAUAGAGAAGAAAUCAGGUGAGAACAUUUGAUGCACUUUUAGUGGAAAACUUCAGCUUCUUUGCUUCACCAAAGAAGCAUGUUAUAAUAACCAGUCUUCUCAGCCUGUUUUAUUUGAAUUCAUGCACCUAACCUGGUUUCCAAAAUUACUGCUGGCUGCAAGUCAACAAUUCACAGCUGCAAACUCAUUGCCCGUGGGGCUGCAGCUUUCUUUGCCCUUUGCCUUCAGAUGGCUGCAUGGAUUUAAUGUAACUUCAUUUACAGAUCAGUAUAGACUGAUUUACUAAAGCUUCUGCUGUGACUGUUUCUGAUUUAAAUGUAUCUACCGGUUGGAAUGAUUUGACUGAUGGGCAACACACAUUUCAGUAUCAGAACAACACCAACCUCUUGAAGCAUUGCUUACAGAGACUGAGUCACUACCACAACAUUAGUGCUCAGAGUUGUUAUCUUUUCAUACUUCUUUCAAAAACAGAACUUUGUGUUUUUGUCAGUGGAUGCCCUGCAAACUCCACACACUGGAAACGUUAAGUCACCAAACUUCAAGUCAGAGUCCAGUUUUGAGUUCCCAGUGUUUGAGUCAAGUCCAAGUCGAGUCCACUACUGCUCCGAGUCAAGUUCAAUCCCAAUUUGUCAUUGUGUAAUUAUUAUAUAAUAUUGAACUUAACUUAGAUAAAUGACUAAAUGACUAACUUAGAUAAAAAUCUGAAGACUUGUCUCCGAUUUACAAGUUCGAAUGCAGUUAAUGCACAAGUCCAAGUCAACAGUGCUCAAGUCCAAGUCAAGUCACAAAUCCUUAAAUUAAGUACAAGUAGGUGAGGUAAACAGUGCAAAUGGUCAGCAGGUGGAUAAUGACAUGAGCACAGGUCAGUGCCUGUACUGAAGUAACUAAAGUGCAGAGCAGGAUGUUAGUCAGUUGGUGUUCAGUAGUCCAACAGCAGAGGGGAAGAAGCUGUUCUUGUGGCUACUACCUUAUUUGUCAUCGGGGGAGUCGGCAUCCAAUGCAGUCAUGUUAGAAAAACUUCCUGCAUGGCCAGAAAGUCUGAUUCGACUGAGCCGUUCAAAAAUUUCUUCUAAAUUGACUCUGUUGGCUCCCUGAGCCCCCUGAUGAUGCAUAAGUUAGCAGCCACUGCUAAUCCAUGCAGUUUAUGCUAGUUGUUGCAAUGGUUUCUUGCUAGCAAGUACUUAGAACAAAUGGAGUAAGUUUUAAGGACAAUGAAUUGCACAAUUUAAAGCUUGAAUUACCUUGGUUAUGAGCAGUAAUAUUACAUUACGUUUUUUUAAUACCCCUAUUAACUUUAUUUAUCCCAAAGAUAUGACAUCACAUACCAAUCUAAAUCUUUAGUUGCAAGUGAAACGCCAUUUGUUAUGUGUUUUAUAGCAAUAGGGAUAUUGUCUGCACCCUUAGUUGUGUGGACUCGGACUUGCAGGAACCAAGAGCACUUUGGAGUUGGGUUUCGCAGGUAAAUUCUUGGUGAUACUGACUCCAGUUACUCCAGGACUCGAGUAAUUCAGAUCAGUACACUGAGUGAUUCAGAAGGAAGGAAGUGAUUCAUGUCUGUACAUGGAGUCAGAUUUGCCAUGAUAUGAGCAUCGGGGUGUGGAAUGAAGAUGUUGCAUAACCUUCCUUGGCUUUUUCCACUCUCCCAUUCUGCAGUACUUUUCCAUUACAAACAAAUACAACAGUUUUGCUUCAUGUUUACAACAUGUUAAUUUGAUCAGAGGUUUUGUUUACACCGCAGCAACUCAUCUUUACUGGUGACAGUGUUGUGUAUUUAUUUGGACAGUACAGUAUGUAUUUAAGUAUAGUAUAAAUAACAACAAUUUGACGCAAAUGACUCACAUAAAUAAAAAACUCAUACACUCAAGCACAUUAAAUCAACAUGAGCGGCAUAAAUAUGUGUGCAGAGGUAAUAAAGCACAAGGGGCCACAAUAAAGAUUGGACUGAACUGACAGUGACGAGUACAAAAAGUGGUUUGGCUGGAUGAAGGGCUCCCUGAUUGUUUUCAGGGUCAGCAUGCUGGUUUUAUAUAUAUGACACAAAUGACAAAUGCUUGUCAAAUCUUGAGCAAUGAUUUUUAAUGCUGCUGCCACUACUGUAGUUCAGUAAGCUCUUUCUUGUCAUUGGGUGAGCAGUCACCAUACCACACUGUGACACGACAAUCUGUGUCACAGCACUGUAAAAAUCACACAUCCCUUCCUCUGAUACCUUAAACCUCCUGAGAUGGUGCAGAAAGAACAAUUGCUGUCAUGGUUUCUGGACAGUAGGGUUUGCACUGACAGUCCAUUUAAGAGAGGAAGAAACUAUGGUCCCCAGGUAUCUGUCUAAUCAUACUGAACCAAGCACUGAGACUCAAUGUUAGUGUUGAGUGAGUACAGAAGAGGCAACACAGGCCUUAACUUUACUGGAAGUGGUAUAUUGGU